UUAAAAUAAGGUGCAAGUGAAAUUUUUUAUAUUAAAUGCUUGUGUUGUAAAUAAAUAGAUUUUACUGAACUUUUUCUAGCUCAGGGGUCAAAGGUGGGCUUUCCAGAAAGGAUGAGUUGUACAACAACUUAAUUGAGACCUUUUUUAAGCAACACAAGUUGGAUCUCCCUAAACCAGUGCUACAGACAGAGGGCAGCUAUAUAGUUCAAAUUUGACUUUUACUUUGGUGUUAUGUAACGCGCUGUGGUACAUUACGAACCAACAUUUGACUAUCAACGAUGCUGCACAUGACAGACAGGAUCUAACUCCAAUUCCUGAUGCAUUUGACAUGUACCAAGGGUUUAAUGAGGUCAAAAGGAAGAAAAUGAAACAGAUGCCUCUUGAUGCUGGAUGUCUUAAAUCUCAUGCAGAAACUUUAUAUAGUGUUCUAUUGAGACCCAUAACUUCUUCUACUGAAGCAUGGAGGAAGGGAAGUAAAGAAAUUCAGGGCCUGGCUGACUGUUUUGAUUCCUAUAGCAACUACCUAAAAAGAAAGAAUGAAGAAAUGCAGACAACUCAUGCAGAGAUGCAUCCUGCAAGAACAAUUGCUGAAGAUGCAACUAUUGAGCAUAGGACACCAUCAUCAUUGGUUAAGCAGCAAUACCACCUGCUUGAUGCUAUCAUAAAAGGAAAGGAAGUUGGAGAAUUUUUUAUUUUUGAUGAAAAAGAGCAUGUUAAUGAACCAUUUAUUGACUCAAAGCAGAAAUACCGAUUCCUUCAGGGUCUUCAGCUGUCUGUUCCAAUAGACAUACUUAAAUUCAGUCCAGGUGGAUCAACAACAUCCUCAUUCAUAAUCUGUAGAACACUAGAGAACCGUGCAGAGUCACAGAUAUUAGUUCAGGGUGCCAGGUUGUUGCAGACAGCAAGAUCAGAAAUUCAGGAAUU
Molecule: long non-coding RNA, 924 nt
Organism: Magallana angulata
Lineage: Eukaryota; Metazoa; Mollusca; Bivalvia; Ostreida; Ostreidae
Exons: 4
Source: RefSeq, a predicted model, not a curated record